CUACAGGAGCGACCUGAGAUCACAUGUGGACACCCUAAGAUCUUCCCUUAUCUUCCAAGGAUUGUGUUCUUAUGUGUUCUCAGGUCGCCCCUGCCGGG
Molecule: microRNA precursor, 98 nt
Filed under: Manihot esculenta (cassava)
Lineage: Eukaryota; Viridiplantae; Streptophyta; Magnoliopsida; Malpighiales; Euphorbiaceae
Description: precursor microRNA miR398b
Rfam family: MIR398 microRNA precursor family
Source: RNAcentral